UACGGAGGGUGCGAGCGUUGUCCGGAAUCACUGGGCGUAAAGGGCGCGUAGGCGGUUCGUUAAGUUGCUGGUGAAAUCCCGGGGCUCAACUCCGGGGCUGCCAGUAAGACUGGCGGGCUAGAGCACGGUAGAGGCAGAUGGAAUUCCCGGUGUAGCGGUGGAAUGCGUAGAUAUCGGGAAGAAUACCGGUGGCGAAGGCGUUCUGCUGGGCCGUUGCUGACGCUGAGGCGCGACAGCGUGGGAGCAAACAGG
Molecule: ribosomal RNA, 252 nt
Filed under: uncultured bacterium
Lineage: Bacteria
Description: partial 16S ribosomal RNA
Rfam family: Bacterial small subunit ribosomal RNA
Source: RNAcentral